This 435-nucleotide ribosomal RNA is filed under the name uncultured bacterium. RNAcentral describes it as "partial 16S ribosomal RNA". It matches the Rfam family "Bacterial small subunit ribosomal RNA", at positions 29 to 507 of the family's 1533-position model. The record is from RNAcentral.
AGCGAACGCUGGCGGCAUGCUUAACACAUGCAAGUCGCACGGAUCUUUCGGGAUCAGUGGCGGACGGGUGAGUAACGCGUAGGGAUCUUUCCAUGGGUGGGGGACAACUCCGGGAAACUGGAGCUAAUACCGCAUGAUACCUGAGGGUCAAAGGCGCAAGUCGCCUGUGGAGGAACCUGCGUUCGAUUAGAUAGUUGUUGGUGUAAAGGCCUACCAAGGCGAUGAUCGAUAGCUGGUUUGAGAGAAUGAUCAGCCACACUGGGACUGAGACACGGCCAAGACUCCUACGGGAGGCAGCAGUGGAGAAUAUUAGACAAUGGGCGAAAGGCUGAUCCAGCAAUGCCGGGUGUGUGAAGAAGGUCUUCGGAAAGUAAAGCACUAUCGACGGGGAAGAUGAUGACGGUACCCGUAGAAGAAGCCCCGGCUAACUUCGUG